This 101-nucleotide non-coding RNA is filed under the name Rattus norvegicus (Norway rat). The stretch from base 7 to 76 matches the Rfam family "tRNA". Rfam says of the family: Transfer RNA (tRNA) molecules are approximately 80 nucleotides in length. Their secondary structure includes four short double-helical elements and three loops (D, anti-codon, and T loops). The record is from RNAcentral. Lineage: Eukaryota; Metazoa; Chordata; Mammalia; Rodentia; Muridae.
GGGGUUGGGGAUUUAGCUCAGUUAGUAGAGCACUUGCUUAGCAAGCACAAGGCCCUGGGUUCGGUCCCUAGCUCCGGAAAAAAAAAAAAAGCAAAAAAUUU